Molecule: ribosomal RNA, 426 nt
Filed under: uncultured beta proteobacterium
Lineage: Bacteria; Pseudomonadati; Pseudomonadota; Betaproteobacteria
Description: bacterial SSU rRNA
Rfam family: Bacterial small subunit ribosomal RNA
Source: RNAcentral
UGGGGAAUUUUGGACAAUGGGCGAAAGCCUGAUCCAGCCAUGCCGCGUGAGUGAAGAAGGCCUUCGGGUUGUAAAGCUCUUUUAGUCGGAAAGAAAGAGUUGCAAUGAAUAAUUGUGAUUUAUGACGGUACCGACAGAAAAAGCACCGGCUAACUUCGUGCCAGCAGCCGCGGUAAUACGAAGGGUGCAAGCGUUACUCGGAAUUACUGGGCGUAAAGGGGGCGCAGGCGGCCUUGCAAGUCAGAGGUGAAAGCCCGGGCUUAACCUGGGAAUUGCGUUUGAAACUACAAGGCUAGAGUGCAGCAGAGGGGAGUGGAAUUCCAUGUGUAGCAGUGAAAUGCGUAGAGAUGUGGAAGAACACCGAUGGCGAAGGCAGCUCCCUGGGUUGACACUGACGCUCAUGCACGAAAGCGUGGGGAGCAAACA